AACGAACGCUGGCGGCAUGCCUAACACAUGCAAGUCGAACGAGACCUUCGGGUCUAGGGGCGCACGGGUGCGUAACGCGUGGGAACCUGCCCUUAGGUUCGGAAUAACUCCCCGAAAGGGGUGCUAAUACCGGAUAAUGUCUUCGGACCAAAGAUUUAUCGCCUUUGGUUGGGCCCGCGUUGGAUUAGCUAGUUGGUAGGGUAAAAGCCUACCAAGGCGACGAUCCAUAGCUGGUCUGAGAGGAUGAUCAGCCACACUGGGACUGAGACACGGCCCAGACUCCUACGGGAUGCAGCAGUGGGGAAUAUUGGACAAUGGGCGAAAGCCUGAUCCAGCAAUGCCGCGUGAGUGAUGAAGGCCUUAGGGUUGUAAAGCUCUUUUACCCGGGAUGAUAAUGACAGUACCGGGAGAAUAAGCUCCGGCUAACUCCGUG
RNAcentral lists this ribosomal RNA (433 nucleotides) under uncultured bacterium. RNAcentral describes it as "partial 16S ribosomal RNA". It matches the Rfam family "Bacterial small subunit ribosomal RNA", at positions 29 to 507 of the family's 1533-position model. The record is from RNAcentral.